UGGGGAAUUUUGGGCAAUGGGCGAAAGCCUGACCCAGCAACGCCGCGUGAAGGAUGAAGUAUUUCGGUAUGUAAACUUCGAAAGAAUAGGAAGAAUAAAUGACGGUACUAUUUAUAAGGUCCGGCUAACUACGUGCCAGCAGCCGCGGUAAUACGUAGGGACCAAGCGUUGUUCGGAUUUACUGGGCGUAAAGGGCGCGUAGGCGGCAUGACAAGUCACUUGUGAAAUCUCUGGGCUUAACCCAGAACGGCCAAGUGAUACUGUCGCGCUAGAGUGCAGAAGGGGCAAUCGGAAUUCUUGGUGUAGCGGUGAAAUGCGUAGAUAUUGGGAAGAACACCAGUGGCGAAGGCGGCUAACUGGUCCGGUACUGACGCUGAGGUGCGAAAGCGUGGGGAGCAAACAGGAUUAGAUACCCAAGUAGUCCCUGAGCGGGCUGGCAAGGCGCAU
This 447-nucleotide ribosomal RNA is filed under the name uncultured bacterium. Its description in RNAcentral is "bacterial SSU rRNA". It matches the Rfam family "Bacterial small subunit ribosomal RNA", at positions 355 to 825 of the family's 1533-position model. The record is from RNAcentral.